ACAACGGAUCUCUUGGUUCCGGCAUCGAUGAAGAACGCAGCGAAAUGCGAUAAGUAAUGUGAAUUGCAGAAUUCAGUGAACCAUCGAAUCUUUGAACGCACAUUGCGCCCUCUGGUAUUCCGGAGGGCAUGCCUGUCCGAGCGUCAUUG
RNAcentral lists this ribosomal RNA (149 nucleotides) under Megaspora verrucosa. Its description in RNAcentral is "5.8S ribosomal RNA". It matches the Rfam family "5.8S ribosomal RNA". Rfam says of the family: 5.8S ribosomal RNA (5.8S rRNA) is a component of the large subunit of the eukaryotic ribosome. The record is from RNAcentral. Lineage: Eukaryota; Fungi; Ascomycota; Lecanoromycetes; Pertusariales; Megasporaceae.